CUGUUCGAGCGUCAUUGAGACCAACAAGCCUAAGCUUGGUAUUGGAUGUCAUCAUAUAGGUGCACCUUAAAAUUAGGAGCAGUGCUCCCAGCUUCAAGCGCAGUAAUUUUCUCGCUUCUGGAGUCUGGAUAGUUACUGUCUGAACCCCUAAACUAUCACAGUUUGACCUCGGAUCAGGUAGGGAUACCCGCUGAACUUAA
RNAcentral lists this unclassified non-coding RNA (200 nucleotides) under soil metagenome. Its description in RNAcentral is "partial contains internal transcribed spacer 2 and large subunit ribosomal RNA". The record is from RNAcentral.